AGAGUUUGAUCCUGGCUCAGGAUGAACGCUGGCGGCGUGCCUAACACAUGCAAGUCGAACGGAGCCUUAUCAGCAGAAGCAUCCAGCUUGCCGGAAGCGGAAGAAGAAAAGGCUUAGUGGCGGACGGGUGAGUAACGCGUGGGUAACCUGGCCCAUACAGGGGGAUAACACUUAGAAAUAGGUGCUAAUACCGCAUAACAACAGAAUCUGCAUGGAUUUUGUUUGAAAACUGAGGUGGUAUGGGAUGGACCCGCGUCUGAUUAGCUGGUUGGCGGGGUAAUGGCCCACCAAGGCGACGAUCAGUAGCCGGCCUGAGAGGGUGGACGGCCACAUUGGGACUGAGACACGGCCCAAACUCCUACGGGAGGCAGCAGUGGGGAAUAUUGCACAAUGGGGGAGACCUUGAUGCAGCGACGCCGCGUGAGUGAAGAAGUAAUUCGUUAUGUAAAGCUCUAUCAGCAGGGAAGAAAAUGACGGUACCUGAUUAAGAAGCCCCGGCUAACUACGUGCCAGCAGCCGCGGUAAUACGUAGGGGGCAAGCGUUAUCCGGAUUUACUGGGUGUAAAGGGAGCGUAGACGGCAGUGCAAGUCUGGAGUGAAAGGCGGGGGCUCAACCCCCGGACUGCUCUGGAAACUGUACAGCUGGAGUGCAGGAGAGGUAAGUGGAAUUCCUAGUGUAGCGGUGAAAUGCGUAGAUAUUAGGAGGAACACCAGUGGC
This 718-nucleotide ribosomal RNA is filed under the name uncultured bacterium. RNAcentral describes it as "bacterial SSU rRNA". It matches the Rfam family "Bacterial small subunit ribosomal RNA", at positions 8 to 716 of the family's 1533-position model. The record is from RNAcentral.